GAAGAACCUUACCAAGACUUGACAUCCCGCUGACCGCUCUAGAGAUAGAGUUUCCCUUCGGGGCAGCGGUGACAGGUGGUGCAUGGUUGUCGUCAGCUCGUGUCGUGAGAUGUUGGGUUAAGUCCCGCAACGAGCGCAACCCUUACAUUGUGUUGCCAUCAUUUGGUUGGGCACUCACAAUGGACUGCCGGUGACAAACCGGAGGAAGGCGGGGAUGACGUCAAAUCAUCAUGCCCCUUAUGUCUUGGGCUACACACGUGCUACAAUGGGCGGUACAAAGGGAUGCGAAACCGCGAGGUGGAGCCAAUCUCAUAAAGCCGUUCGUAGUUC
This 330-nucleotide ribosomal RNA is filed under the name uncultured bacterium. RNAcentral describes it as "bacterial SSU rRNA". It matches the Rfam family "Bacterial small subunit ribosomal RNA", at positions 963 to 1294 of the family's 1533-position model. The record is from RNAcentral.